Molecule: transfer RNA, 73 nt
Organism: Brachybacterium faecium DSM 4810
Lineage: Bacteria; Bacillati; Actinomycetota; Actinomycetes; Micrococcales; Dermabacteraceae
Rfam family: tRNA
About the family: Transfer RNA (tRNA) molecules are approximately 80 nucleotides in length. Their secondary structure includes four short double-helical elements and three loops (D, anti-codon, and T loops).
Source: Rfam
GCGCCCGUAGCUUAACGGAUAGAGCAUCUGACUACGGAUCAGAAGGUUGGGGGUUCGAAUCCCUCCGGGCGCA